AAUGAACGCUGGCGGCGUGCCUAAUACAUGCAAGUCGAGCGAACAGACGAGGAGCUUGCUUCUCUGACGCUACCGGCGGACGGGUGAGUACUAGGUGUAUAACCUAUCGUUGAGAAUGGGAUCACGAAAGGAGCCCGGAUCUAAUACCGGAUCUGAUGGUGAACCGCAUGGAUCUAUAGUGCUAGCGCUCUUUGCUGUGACUGAGUCGUAUUAGCUAGUUGGUGUGGUAAGGUGUUACCAAGGCGACGUUCCAUAACCGAUCUGAGAGGGUGAUCGGUCACACUGGAACUGAGACACGGUCCAGACUCCUACGGGAGGCAGCAGUAGGGAAUAUUGCACAAUGGGCGAAAGCCUGAUGCAGCAACGCCGCGUGAGUGAUGAAGGUCUUCGGAUCGUAAAACUCUGUUAUUAGGGAAGAACAAAUGUGUAAGUAACUAUGCACGUCUUGACGGUACCUAAACAGAAAGCAACGGCUAACUACGUG
This 484-nucleotide ribosomal RNA is filed under the name uncultured bacterium. RNAcentral's name for it is "partial 16S ribosomal RNA". It matches the Rfam family "Bacterial small subunit ribosomal RNA", at positions 29 to 507 of the family's 1533-position model. The record is from RNAcentral.